This 1119-nucleotide ribosomal RNA is filed under the name Mordella sp. NLG-2012. Its description in RNAcentral is "partial 16S ribosomal RNA". The record is from RNAcentral. Lineage: Eukaryota; Metazoa; Arthropoda; Insecta; Coleoptera; Mordellidae.
UUCUUGAAAAUUAAAAAAUUUGGCGGUAUUUUAAUCUAUUCAGAGGAACCUGUUUCAUAAAUGAUAGCCCACGAUAUGUGUUACUUUAUUUUUUAAUUUGUAUAUCGUCGUAUAAAGAAUAUUUUUGUAUGAAAUGUUUUCAGAUCAAGGUGUAGUUUAUGAUAAAGUAGAAAUGGGUUACAAUAAAAAGGGAAGUUAAAUUGGAUUUGGAAGUAAGCUCUAGAAUAUGUACAUAUUGCCCGUCGCUUCCAUAAUUUGGAAUAAGUCGUAACAAAGUAGAUUUAUUGGAAAAUGAGUCUGGAAAACAAAUUAGAGCUUGAUAAGCGUUUUAUUUACACUAAAAAGUUAAUUGUGAAGUUCAAUUUAAUUUGAAAUUAAUUGUUUAUUGUUUUUUUUGUUUUAUUGAUUUUAAUAAAAGUAUUUUAUUGUUAUAUAUAUAUUUGAAUUGAUUUAAUUAUAGUUUAUUGUAUUGUGAAAGAUUAAUUUUAAUUUUGGAUAAGAAUAUUUAAUUUGUGGUACCUUGUGUGUCAGGGUAAAUUUAUAAAUGUUUCCCGAAUUUAGAAGAGUUAAUUUUAUUGUAAAAUAAAUAUUUUUAAUAUGUAAUUGGAUAUGAAACGUUAUUCGUUUUUAAAUAUAUCUGGUUCUUGAAGAAAUAAAUUUAAUACAUUUUAUUUUAAUAAUUGUUCUAGGGGAUAAGCUCUUAUUUAAAUUUUUAAAAAUUAUAUUUUUUGUUUUGUUAAUAGGAUUAGAAAUGUUCAUUUUUAAUAGUUUUUAAUAAUAAUGAUUUUUAAGUUAUUUAUUUGAGUAUUAUUUUUAUUUAUGGUUUUUAAGUAAUAAUGAUUUAAUUAUUAAGUUUUUAAAAAGGAACUCGGCAAAUAUUUUUUUCACCUGUUUAAUAAAAACAUGUCUUUUUGAUGAUAAUUUAAAGUCUAGCCUGCCCACUGAUUAAAUGGCCGCAGUAUAUUGACUGUGCAAAGGUAGCAUAAUCAAUAGUUUUUUAAUUGGGAACUGGUAUGAAUGGCUGAAUGAGGAAAAAUCUGUCUUUAAAAUUUUAUUUUUAAGUUAAAAAGCUUAAAUUUUUUAAAAAGACGAGAAGACCCUAUAGAGUUUUUUUGUUGG